Molecule: ribosomal RNA, 1326 nt
Filed under: Pseudomonas sp.
Lineage: Bacteria; Pseudomonadati; Pseudomonadota; Gammaproteobacteria; Pseudomonadales; Pseudomonadaceae
Description: bacterial SSU rRNA
Rfam family: Bacterial small subunit ribosomal RNA
Source: RNAcentral
UGCCUAGGAAUCUGCCUGGUAGUGGGGGAUAACGUUCGGAAACGGACGCUAAUACCGCAUACGUCCUACGGGAGAAAGCAGGGGACCUUCGGGCCUUGCGCUAUCAGAUGAGCCUAGGUCGGAUUAGCUAGUUGGUGGGGUAAUGGCUCACCAAGGCGACGAUCCGUAACUGGUCUGAGAGGAUGAUCAGUCACACUGGAACUGAGACACGGUCCAGACUCCUACGGGAGGCAGCAGUGGGGAAUAUUGGACAAUGGGCGAAAGCCUGAUCCAGCCAUGCCGCGUGUGUGAAGAAGGUCUUCGGAUUGUAAAGCACUUUAAGUUGGGAGGAAGGGUUGUAGAUUAAUACUCUGCAAUUUUGACGUUACCGACAGAAUAAGCACCGGCUAACUCUGUGCCAGCAGCCGCGGUAAUACAGAGGGUGCAAGCGUUAAUCGGAAUUACUGGGCGUAAAGCGCGCGUAGGUGGUUUGUUAAGUUGGAUGUGAAAUCCCCGGGCUCAACCUGGGAACUGCAUUCAAAACUGACUGACUAGAGUAUGGUAGAGGGUGGUGGAAUUUCCUGUGUAGCGGUGAAAUGCGUAGAUAUAGGAAGGAACACCAGUGGCGAAGGCGACCACCUGGACUAAUACUGACACUGAGGUGCGAAAGCGUGGGGGAGCAAACAGGAUUAGAUACCCUGGUAGUCCACGCCGUAAACGAUGUCAACUAGCCGUUGGAAGCCUUGAGCUUUUAGUGGCGCAGCUAACGCAUUAAGUUGACCGCCUGGGGAGUACGGCCGCAAGGUUAAAACUCAAAUGAAUUGACGGGGGCCCGCACAAGCGGUGGAGCAUGUGGUUUAAUUCGAAGCAACGCGAAGAACCUUACCAGGCCUUGACAUCCAAUGAACUUUCUAGAGAUAGAUUGGUGCCUUCGGGAACAUUGAGACAGGUGCUGCAUGGCUGUCGUCAGCUCGUGUCGUGAGAUGUUGGGUUAAGUCCCGUAACGAGCGCAACCCUUGUCCUUAGUUACCAGCACGUAAUGGUGGGCACUCUAAGGAGACUGCCGGUGACAAACCGGAGGAAGGUGGGGAUGACGUCAAGUCAUCAUGGCCCUUACGGCCUGGGCUACACACGUGCUACAAUGGUCGGUACAGAGGGUUGCCAAGCCGCGAGGUGGAGCUAAUCCCAUAAAACCGAUCGUAGUCCGGAUCGCAGUCUGCAACUCGACUGCGUGAAGUCGGAAUCGCUAGUAAUCGCGAAUCAGAAUGUCGCGGUGAAUACGUUUUCGGGCCUUGUCCACCCCCCCCAUCACACCAAAGAACCCUUUUGACUUUUAUCCGGGCUCCA